This is a long non-coding RNA of Melanotaenia boesemani (Boeseman's rainbowfish), 221 nucleotides long. RefSeq lists it as uncharacterized. Lineage: Eukaryota; Metazoa; Chordata; Actinopteri; Atheriniformes; Melanotaeniidae. The record is from RefSeq and is a predicted model, not a curated record. The transcript has 3 exons.
CUUGGGCAUAACAUCUCCACAGGUGGCCUCGUUCCGAGUUAUGGCGGAUUUUGGUGGUAGCAUGGCCUACUGAGUGCUCGCUGUGCUUCGUGUUAGUGAAUCUUUUGUGGGGCAGACCAUUAUUUGGACACAGCAGGAGGAUUCCUGGCUGUGGUGCGUCCCAUGUGGGGACUUCGGAUGGUUCUGUUUUUAGUUUGGAUUCACCUUAGUUUACACACUCA